UGAGGACCCCUAAAGGCCAUUCGGUCGUGAGGUUCUCCUGGACCCCACUGCUCGAGCCUGCGUGGGUCUCUCUGAGGGAUAUCUCAUCCCUCAGGUGUAUCAGCCACACCACACAGCUGGAUGGCACCCACAGACUUGCUGAGUGUGCACUCGAACCCGCUGUUGAUAUCAUUGAUGAAGCUUACAGAGAACCGGAAGGAGAAGAGGAGCAGCAGAUGAACUACAGUAACCUCUAAUCCAUCCCUCGGUUACAGUGACUACACCUAAAAUGCAGCAAGAUCUAAUGGCAACAAAAGCUCAUCUUCCAGAGAACACAGCUCUCAGAUGCGUGUCAUUACAAACCAUCACAGUAGUGGUUCCACUGGAAACCAUUUUUGAACAACUGGAUCCUGCCCUUGCUUUUUGUUGUGCACAUGCAGAUGUCAUUGCUUCAGGUAAGCUCAUAGCAUCUCAUUCCAACACACAACCAACCUCAUGUGUUUUCUGUCAUUCAGACCUUCAAGGCUUUCUCAAUACCAAGACCUACCCCUGGGCUCUUCACUUCAACAAGAGAAUGAAGGAAGACUUAGAGCUCCUUCUGCAUGUUGCAAACCCAGGUCACACGCACCAGCAGGGAACAAUAACCUUGCAC
Molecule: non-coding RNA, 631 nt
Organism: Coturnix japonica (Japanese quail)
Lineage: Eukaryota; Metazoa; Chordata; Aves; Galliformes; Phasianidae
Source: RefSeq, a predicted model, not a curated record